RNAcentral lists this ribosomal RNA (467 nucleotides) under uncultured bacterium. Its description in RNAcentral is "bacterial SSU rRNA". It matches the Rfam family "Bacterial small subunit ribosomal RNA", at positions 329 to 793 of the family's 1533-position model. The record is from RNAcentral.
UUCCAGACUCCUACGGGAGGCAGCAGUGAGGAAUAUUGGUCAAUGGCCGCAGGGCUGAACCAGCCAAGUCGCGUGAGGGAUGACGGUCCUAUGGAUUGUAAACCUCUUUUGUCAGGGAGCAAAGGGCGCCACGUGUGGCGUUUUGCGAGUACCUGAAGAAAAAGCAUCGGCUAACUCCGUGCCAGCAGCCGCGGUAAUACGGAGGAUGCGAGCGUUAUCCGGAUUUAUUGGGUUUAAAGGGUGCGUAGGUGGUUAAUUAAGUCAGCGGUGAAAGUUUGUGGCUCAACCAUAAAAUUGCCGUUGAAACUGGUUGACUUGAGUAUAUUUGAGGUAGGCGGAAUGCGUGGUGUAGCGGUGAAAUGCAUAGAUAUCACGCAGAACUCCGAUUGCGAAGGCAGCUUACUAAACUAUAACUGACACUGAAGCACGAAAGCGUGGGGAUCAAACAGGAUUAGAUACCCUUGUAA